UACGUAGGGGGCAAGCGUUGUCCGGAAUCAUUGGGCGUAAAGAGCGUGUAGGCGGUUCGGUAAGUCGGCUGUGAAAGUCCAGGGCUCAACCCUGGGAUGCCGGUCGAUACUGCCGGACUAGAGUUCGGAAGAGGAGUGUGGAAUUCCUGGUGUAGCGGUGAAAUGCGCAGAUAUCAGGAGGAACACCAAUGGCGAAGGCAGCACUCUGGGACGUGACUGACGCUGAGACGCGAAAGCGUGGGGAGCAAACAGG
Molecule: ribosomal RNA, 253 nt
Filed under: uncultured bacterium
Lineage: Bacteria
Description: partial 16S ribosomal RNA
Rfam family: Bacterial small subunit ribosomal RNA
Source: RNAcentral